RNAcentral lists this ribosomal RNA (339 nucleotides) under Escherichia coli. RNAcentral's name for it is "bacterial SSU rRNA". It matches the Rfam family "Bacterial small subunit ribosomal RNA", at positions 1207 to 1533 of the family's 1533-position model. The record is from RNAcentral. Lineage: Bacteria; Pseudomonadati; Pseudomonadota; Gammaproteobacteria; Enterobacterales; Enterobacteriaceae.
ACCAGGGCUACACACGUGCUACAAUGGCGCAUACAAAGAGAAGCGACCUCGCGAGAGCAAGCGGAUCUCAUAAAGUGCGUCGUAGUCCGGAUUGGAGUCUGCAACUCGACUCCAUGAAGUCGGAAUCGCUAGUAAUCGUGGAUCAGAAUGCCACGGUGAAUACGUUCCCGGGCCUUGUACACACCGCCCGUCACACCAUGGGAGUGGGUUGCAAAAGAAGUAGGUAGCUUAACCUUCGGGAGGGCGCUUACCACUUUGUGAUUCAUGACUGGGGUGAAGUCGUAACAAGGUAACCGUAGGGGAACCUGCGGUUGGAUCACCUCCUUACCUUAAAGAAGC